Molecule: ribosomal RNA, 500 nt
Filed under: uncultured bacterium
Lineage: Bacteria
Description: partial 16S ribosomal RNA
Rfam family: Bacterial small subunit ribosomal RNA
Source: RNAcentral
AUUGAACGCUGGCGGCAUGCCUUACACAUGCAAGUCGAACGGCAGCACGGGAGCAAUCCUGGUGGCGAGUGGCGAACGGGUGAGUAAUAUAUCGGAACGUGCCCAGUCGUGGGGGAUAACGCAGCGAAAGCUGUGCUAAUACCGCAUACGAUCUAAGGAUGAAAGCGGGGGAUCGCAAGACCUCGCGCGAUUGGAGCGGCCGAUAUCAGAUUAGCUAGUUGGUGGGGUAAAGGCCCACCAAGGCGACGAUCUGUAGCUGGUCUGAGAGGACGACCAGCCAGACUGGAACUGAGACACGGUCCAGACUCCUACGGGGAGAAGCAGUGGGGAAUUUUGGACAAUGGGCGCAAGCCUGAUCCAGCAAUGCCGCGUGCAGGAUGAAGGCCUUCGGGUUGUAAACUGCUUUUGUACGGAACGAAACGGCCCUUUCUAAUACAGGGGGCUAAUGACGGUACCGUAAGAAUAAGCACCGGCUAACUACGUGCCAGCAGCCGCAGUAA